This 432-nucleotide ribosomal RNA is filed under the name uncultured bacterium. Its description in RNAcentral is "partial 16S ribosomal RNA". It matches the Rfam family "Bacterial small subunit ribosomal RNA", at positions 29 to 506 of the family's 1533-position model. The record is from RNAcentral.
AACGAACGCUGGCGGCAUGCCUAACACAUGCAAGUCGAACGAGACCUUCGGGUCUAGUGGCGCACGGGUGCGUAACGCGUGGGAACCUGCCCUUAGGUUCGGAAUAACUCCCCGAAAGGGGUGCUAAUACCGGAUAAUGUCUUCGGACCAAGGAUUUAUCGCCUUUGGAUGGGCCCGCGUUGGAUUAGCUAGUUGGUAGGGUAAAAGCCUACCAAGGCGACGAUCCAUAGCUGGUCUGAGAGGAUGAUCAGCCACACUGGGACUGAGACACGGCCCAGACUCCUACGGGAGGCAGCAGGGGGGAAUAUUGGACAAUGGGCGAAAGCCGGACCCAGCAAUGCCGGGUGAGGGAUGAAGGCCUUAGGGUUGUAAAGCUCUUUUACCCGGGAUGAUAAUGACAGUACCGGGAGAAUAAGCCCCGGCUAACUCCGU